RNAcentral lists this ribosomal RNA (557 nucleotides) under Cryptorhynchini gen. sp. ARC0909. RNAcentral's name for it is "SSU rRNA". It matches the Rfam family "Eukaryotic small subunit ribosomal RNA", at positions 45 to 579 of the family's 1831-position model. The record is from RNAcentral. Lineage: Eukaryota; Metazoa; Arthropoda; Insecta; Coleoptera; Curculionidae.
UAAGCCAUGCAUGUCUCAGUACAAGCCAAAUUAAGGUGAAACCGCGAAAGGCUCAUUAAAUCAGUUAUGGUUCCUUAGAUCGUACCCACAAUUACUUGGAUAACUGUGGUAAUUCUAGAGCUAAUACAUGCAAACAGAGCUCCGACCGGAGACGGAAGGAGUGCUUUUAUUAGAUCAAAACCAAUCGGUGGCGGGUUUCGCUCGUCAUCGUACAACUUGGUGACUCUGAAUAACUUUACGCUGAUCGCAUGGUCAUCGCACCGGCGACGCAUCUUUCAAAUGUCUGCCUUAUCAACUGUCGAUGGUAGGUUCUGCGCCUACCAUGGUUGUAACGGGUAACGGGGAAUCAGGGUUCGAUUCCGGAGAGGGAGCCUGAGAAACGGCUACCACAUCCAAGGAAGGCAGCAGGCGCGCAAAUUACCCACUCCCGGCACGGGGAGGUAGUGACGAAAAAUAACGAUACGGGACUCAUCCGAGGCCCCGUAAUCGGAAUGAGUACACUCUAAACCCUUUAACGAGGAUCAAUUGGAGGGCAAGUCUGGUGCCAGCAGCCGCGG